RNAcentral lists this long non-coding RNA (9720 nucleotides) under Mus musculus (house mouse). Its description in RNAcentral is "long non-coding RNA chr1:63117117-63126837". The record is from RNAcentral. Lineage: Eukaryota; Metazoa; Chordata; Mammalia; Rodentia; Muridae.
GAGUGCUGCCCACUGAUCAGCUAGACACUUUAAUGUAUGUGUUAUUUUAUUCUCUCUUCUGUUUGGUUUGGCUUGAGUCAGUCCUACUAUGUAGUAGCCCUGGCUGGUCUGGAACUCACUGUGUAGACCAGGAUGGCCUUGAAUUCACAAAGAUCCCCUUGCUUCUACCUCCUGGGUGCUGGAAUUAAAGGUGUAUACCACUAUAUCCCCCCACCCCUUUGAAGUUGUUGUUUUGUUUUGUUGUUUUGUUUGAGGAAGCAUCUUGUCUGGAGUCCAGGCUGGCCUUGAACUCCCUAUGAGGCCCAAAAUAGUCUUGAAUUCAAAAUCCUUUAUCCUUCUUCUAUAGCCUCUGAAGUGUUAUAUGCACCAUGACAUCUUGUUAGUUCUACCUUUUGCUACUAGUGAUUUUAGUAUUGUAAAAACUGAGUACUUCACUGGGUGUGGUGGCACACGCCUUUAAUCCCAGCCCUCGGGAGGCAGAGGCAGGCAGAUUUCUGAGUUCAAGGCCAGCCUGGUCUACAGAGUGAGUUUCAGGACAGCCAGGGCUGCAGAAAAACCCUGUCUCCAAAAAACCAAAAAAAAAAAAAAAAAAAAAAAAAAAAAAAAAAACAACAGAGUACUUCAUUGUGAAAAUUAUAGUGACGUUAUUAAGAAAAUGACAACUAUAUUCUGUCCUUAAAAGGUCUCUUUUAAACAGUGGUGUAUAUGUAUGGAAAUGUAACAAUACCCAUUAUUUUGUAUGCUAGCUAAAAAAUUAAUUUUAAAAAAAAUCUUAUUUAGACAUUGUAGAUUUAAAGUAAAAGAUUCAUGUGUGAUUAAUGUAUUAGAAUCUGUCAAUAAGUAAAAGAGCCAUUCUUGGCAAAUAGUUGCUGACAAAAUCACCAUUUUUUUUUCUUUAAAGAAAGAAAGAAAGCACUGACAAUAGAAAUUGUUAUUCAGGGUUACUAAGAUUUUUGUCUUGCAGGAACUUGUUUUGGGGGUUGUUUGUGUUUUCUUUCCUGAGAUGGUGUCUCAAGAACCCUAGGCUAGCCUCAACCUAUAUUUAGCUGGUCCUCUUUUCUCUACCUUUGAAGUGCUAGGGUCAUAGAUGUAUAACACCAUAGCUCUGUCUUUUUACUUCUAGACACACAGGUUGACCAGAUGUGUGGUCUGGACUCCCCUCUCCCCCUUCCAUUGUGAGGUACCAUAUUCAGCAUAUUCCAACACUUCUAAAAGCAAGACUCCAUACCAAACAGACCAUGGUAGCUAAUGCCUGUGCUCUCAGUCAUAGGAGGCUGAAGCAGGAGGAUGGACAGUUCCAGAGACCUUGGUUGAAUGGAUGAAUGGGUAUCGUCCAAGCACAGAGUUGCAGUUACUGCAGAGGCUAGGCAGCAUAUGUGCCAAGCCCCGUGCUGGCUGCUAUGGUGCACCGCACAGACCUGAAGUCCAUGUAUGUUCUGGCUCUAUGUGGUAAUCUCCCCACCAUGACUGGAGGUAAGGGGCUGUGCCUAUCAAUCUCCACUGUACCCCACCCAGCCUAGACAGCUGACCUCAAAAGCCCGGAAGAUGGCAGGUAGGUGUGUGCCUAAAUUCUACAUUAACAUGACCAUAGACACUUUCAGUCUAAACCUUACUGUUUUAGAAAUGGCCAUUUAUAGUGUUUCAAAGAUUUGGGUUUUAUUGUGGUUACUGGGUCUUGAAAGAAACUGUUCCUGAGGUAAGCACCGAAUGAAGCAGGCAUGUGAUCGCUUUAGAUUAUUUCAGUGUGAAAUUUCUGUAAAAAAAAUACACAAGUUUAAGGUAGGCAUGGUGGCACACAUCUUUAAUCCCAACAACUGAGUAGAUGGAGGGAGACGGAUCUCUUCAAGUUCAAGGCUAGCCUGGUUUAUAUUCAGGAGUGCUCACUCUAGAUAGGUAGGUAGGAGGUAGGGAAGUAGGUAGGUAGGUAGGUAUCUCUGAUUCAAAUGUAGUCAAAUAUAGGCAAUCUGAAUUCUAACUUAUCCACGACUACUCAGACCUGAGAACUGUUACCUGAUCUUAUGCUAAAUAAGAAGGGAGUCUGUCUGAGAGUUGCUGAGAGGGCUGCUGGUUUGUCUGUCUUAAGUCUCCUCAAAGCCCAGCAGGAGCCCUUCCAGAACUAGAUGGUCAGUGGCUGUGCUGGAGGAGGCCCCUUUCAGGCUACAGGCAGAGAAUGACAAUGUCACACAUAUCAGGGAACAUUAUUCCUCCUGAUGUUAAGAAAAUAACUCUCCAACAGAAGUCACAUCUUAAGUGAUAAUUGGGUGGGUUGUUUUGUUUUGUUUAAUUAAAGCUUCAAAGUAAGAUUAAAGAUUGAAUUUAGGUAGAAUUAGCAUUAAUAGUCAAUCUUUUCUGUAAUUUAUAACAAGAAAAAAAAAGUGUCCCCAAAGUUAUGGUUAGAUUAGUUAAAUAUUGUAGUAAGGAGAGAAAUCCAUGGAGACCUCAGGAUAAUAAGCAGGGGUUAGCAGAAAGGUGACACUGUUCAUUUCUGUGACAUUUCUGGCUAAACAAGCUUUUGUAGACCCACUGGGAAUGUAACCACUAUUUCCAUGGGAAAAUAAAUUCCAGGUUCCAGACAAGUAAUUUAGAGAUGUUGUGGAACACAGCCACUAAUAAGUUUAGACUUGUGUGCUCCAGAGGCCCCAUCGCACCAUUGUGAUAGAUAGCCAGAGUUCAGCAGUAAGGGGAAAUGGGGUAAAUCGACUCUUACAGAUAAAAUGAAGAUUAACUAUGAUCAUAGCUCAGAAGAGAAGACUGUCAAAGACCGAAACCACCAUAGCACAGAAGAAAGGGGAACCCCAGUGACUCAGAUCAGAUCGUCCCCCUUACUCUGUAUGUAGUGCUGCUCCUAGGUGUCACAUGAUAUAAUAGAUAUUUGUGCUUUGUUUUAUUCUGUUUGUUUUGUUCUAGUAAGAGAGACAAGGCCUCAGACUAGUCUGGAAUUAACACUGUAAACCAGACUGGCCUGGAAACUGUGGCAGUCCUUCAGUCCCAGACUCCCAAGUGUUAGGAUUACAGGCAUUCAUUAGCCAUCAUGUCUGGCUUUAUUUUAGACUUAGAACCAGAAGGAGGAACAGUGCAGUGGCUCACUUGCUGCACUACCCUGGCAACCUGGUUCAAUCCCUGGCCCCCAGAUAAAGGUGAUAGGAGAGGUCUGACUGCACCAAGCAGCCCUCUGACCCUCACAUGUGCAUGCACCGUGGAACUCAGGCCGCUGCCACACGAUAACGAAUAAUUCUCUAAUCAGAAUAGGAAAGUGAUGAGGCCAGAGCCUUCUGUUUGCCUGCUACUCUACUGCCUCUUGUUGUGCCUCCAUUUCUGACUUAAGGUGACAGGGCAGAGCGUUGCCCAGCAUACCCAAGGCCUAGAGUUUGGUCCCCAGCCCUAGUUUAAAAAAGGCUUAAUAUAGUGUGUCUGCAUGUGCUUCUGGACUAGAUCAAAAACAGUGACAGGAAACACUGCUGCUAUGUUGAUAAAAUGUGUGGCAUCACCACACAUGAGAUAGAUAGAUACACACACACACACACACACACACACAGUUGCUGGCAGCACUAAAUACAUCCAUGGGAACUUGUUGGCUAAUCAGGAUAUGUCCCACCUAGAACAUCUCGUCAAAAUGUAGUGUGACCAUGCUAUUAUAUUAAGAUCACCCUGUAAAAUAGACAUGAAGGAGCUGACAAGAUGCAUGGAAUCAUGGGGGCGGGAGAUGCAAUGCAAAGUUUUUUUUUCUUGUGGAAAAUCAAAAUAAAUAGGUGUUGUGUGUUGUAGUUUAACUGUGAAAUGCCACACCCUAUCUUACACUGGCCUUUUUUGCCCACUGAUGACCUUGUAGGAAGUGAUUAGAUGAUAAGGCUUCAGGAUUUGUAGAUGGAUUGAUCCACUGAUAGUUGAUCGUCUGAUGGCAUUGUUGAGUUCUGGUUGGAAGAAGUGGGCCACUGAUGUGUGCCUUUGAGAAAUGUAUCUUGUUCCCAGCAGUGCUUCUAGGUUCCUGCUUCCUGGUUGCCUGGAGGUGAGCAGCUUUACUCCUGUAUACUCAUCUGCCAUGAUGCUCUGUCUCACCAUGACCUAGAAACCUCUGACACAGUGAGCCAAAAUAAAUCUGCCCACCCUUUCAGUAGUUUCUUUCUGGUAUUUGGCACUUCAAAGGAAGUCUAAACACAGCUGAGUUGAUACUAAAGUCCAUAAAAGAAGAUUCUUUUUUUUUUUUCAAGAUUUUUAUUUAAAUGAGUACACCAUUUCUGUCUUCAGACACACCAGAAGAGGGCAUCAGAUCCUGUUACACAUGGUUGUGAGCCACCAUGUGGUUGCUGGGAAUUGAACUCAGGACCUCUGGAAGAGUAGUCAGUGCUCUUAACCUCUGACCCAUCUCUCCAGCCUAGAAAGAAGAUUCUAAACAUUGUUUACCCAUGAGUCAAAAAGAAUGUGUGGAUCUAGAGAGAGAUGUGUAAGAAAGAAGGAAGUGCUGGAGAGAGAGAAGGAGAAACGAAAAGUGUCAGGGGUGUUUUGUUUAUGUUUUUUGCUUUAUUUGGAGACAGGCUCAUAUAGCCCAUGAUGGCCUAGAACUCUGUAGCCAAGGUUAGCCUUGAACUUUUGGUCCUUUUGCCUCCAUGUAUAGACUCCUGGCAUUUCAGGCAUGAACCAACAUAGCCAGUUCAUGCAGAACUGAUUGAUGAUAGGACCCUAUCUCCCCAGCAAGUCCCAGUCAAAAUACCUUAUUUUAAAUAUUGACGCAAGUGGAUUUAAAGGGUAACUUUUUUUUUCCCCAAGUUUUGUUGUCACUAUAGAUGGCUCUAUACCAUAACAAAAAUUUUAUAAGCCUGUCUUUCGUUAUACAAGUUUCCUUUAAAUCAUUGGGUGUUUGGGGGUGGCAGAUGACAACACAUGAUGGGGACCCAACCUUUCAACUGAUUAAAUAAAAGUCGAUCUUCCCACAGUCACGAACCAUCUCUGUGUCCACAGGAGUUGUGUGUCUGUUCUAAAUGUAUGAGGGGCAGUUAUGUAAUUUACUACCAACAGAAUUUAUCCUUCAAAUGUCAUGUCGCAACAAUGGGUCACCUCCGUUUGUGGUAGGACACACAGGUGCUUCCUGUUGCCCUGCCCAGGACGAUGUUAACAUCAACCUCAGAGAAGGCCGUUGGACCAGCCUGGAGCCAAAUAGUAGCCACUGUGUCUGUAUUGAGGAGGUAGGGAGAACUGUUUCUUAAAAUGUAUUUAUUUGUUUCUGGUUUUGAGAGAAGAUUAUCACAUUAUAUGGCUCUGGGUAGCCUGAUACUGUGUACCCCAUGCAGGCUGCAAAUCACAGUAACCCAACUUAACUUGACUAACACUGAACCCAGAGGGAAGUACCACUGUGCCCAAGAACAGGAUUGGAGAGCUAGCCCAGCAUUAAGAGCACACCAAAGGAAUCCAAGCACUCACAUAGUGUCUAACAACCGUCUAUAACUCCAGUUCCAAAGGAUCCAACACGCUUUUCUGACCACUGUGGACACCAGGCAAGCAUGCAGUAUACAGACAUACAUGUAUGAAAAACACCUAUACUCAUAAAAUAUAAACAAAAUUUAAGAGCAAUAAAUCUGAGUGCUUUAUACAACAGUAGUUACUAGUGGUCAGGUAAGUUAUCACAAGUAAGUGUGUCGACCCCUGAGAUAAACUAAGAAAACAAUUCAUGGCAGCCAUAACGGUGCACACUCAUAUCCCAGUAUGAAAGAGGCUGAGGCAGGCUAAUACUGUGAGUUCAGAAGUUCAAGACCAGCUUGGCCAACAUAGUGUAACUCCGUGUCAAAGUAAGAAGGGCUGAGGAUGUAGUUCUCUUGGUAGUGUGUUUGCCUAGCGUGCAUAAAGCCCCAGCACUGUAUAAACAGAGUGUAGCAGUCUGUACCUAUAAUCCCAGCCGCUAAAGGCAAGAUCCAAAGUUCAAGGUCAUCGUCAGACACACACACACACACACACACACAGAGACUGUUUCAAACUAUGUGGGGUUGGGCGUGGGAGAAGGAAAGUAGAAUGGUGGGAUGCCAUUCUAAGAAACACCAUGUAACUGUUCUCACAGGCCAUUUGUCUUUUUGUUGCUACUGUUAGAAGGAAGUUUCUGUGUUCUUCAGAUCAAAUAUGUAUGUGUGUAUACAUAAAUAUAUAGAGUACAUAUGUAUUCCAACAUGGGAUCUUCAUUUUCUGCUGGAGGAGUAUGCUACUAUUCUCUUUCGCUUCAAGAAUAUCUUAGCUGAGAUGAGAAAAAUUAAGAUUCUUUAAAGACAUAUUUAUUUUAUGUGUCCGAGUGUUUUAUCUACAUGUAUGUAAAUGCAAGUGCCCUCAGAAGCCAAAAGGUGCUGGUGCUGGCUCCUGAGGCUGCAGUUAGAGUAGUUGUAAGGCAAGGUGUGGGUGCUGGAAACGAAACUGGGUCUUCAACCAGAGCAAUAAGGAAAAGUGAAUGAUUCUUUUAAGCAGGGAGGAACAAUUUGUGUAUUUAUCAUUCCAUUUGCUGAGCUCUUUGCCCAAACAAUAUUUCUAAUACUGUUGGUCACAGUGACACAUGCUUGUCUGUCUGUAGUCCCAAAUUUUCUAGAGACAGAAGCAACAGACCUCUACAGCCCAAGAGUCUGAAGUCUGUCUGGGCAAUAGAACAAGACCCAGAGAGGAGGGAGGGAGAGGAAGAGAGAGAAAGAGCGAGAAAGCAAACCGCAUGUAAGCAUUCUGGACAUGUGUGGGGUUUCUCAUUUCAACCAAUUCUCCCAACUCUCUGGUUAUAUAACCAAGUGUCCUACAGCUCAGUCAAAACUGACGCUGUGACACCAGUUACCAGGGCUUAUUAUCAGACCCCACAGGGUUAGUGGCUCAGUCACACAAGACAACCCUCACUUCAGGUGCUAGUUCCUAGUAUCAGGUCCUCAGGCUACCCCAACUAACAUCCCACGUGGCCAAAGUGAGGUUGUCCUACAACCUCUAGUUUAAAGAUUAGCUAGAACUCAUUAUACAAACAGCAACACUCCUGGUUUAUUACAGAGUCUAACCCUGGAACAACCAAAUGGAAGAACAAGAUGGCCAGGACACUGUGGAGGUGCUGGAGAGGCACGGGGUUUCGGUGUCCUCUCUGGACACAUCACCCUCUGAGCUCAGGUGUGUGGCCUCCAUCCUGGAAGCUUCCAUACCCUGGCAUGUGGGAUACUGAUGGCCAGGCACGUAGACAUGCUUAAUUAUUAACUCCAUCUCCUCCCCUCUUCCUUCCCCGAGGCCAUGGGGUAAGCAAAGCUUCCAGGCCUCUGAUCCAGGUUUGGUGUGUCUGGUCUCCAGUUAUUCCUAAGUUGUUUGGGGCAGGUCAAGAGUCACUCAUUAGAAAGAUACUCUUUUGACCCGGGAAUUCCAAGAGCUUUCAGAAGUCUGUGGACCAGGGACAAUGGCCAAAUAUCAGCACAGGAGGCACACACAUCUGUCAUCUGGAAGUUAUGUGGACCAGAGAGGCUUUGUGUCAGGAAGCAAGGAUAAAGAGCAUGGAUACGUUUCUUAUACAAUAUAUACAGACACACUAUCUUGAAAUAAAGCAAGAAGCAGUCAUCUAGCGCUGGGACUGGAGAGAUGGCUCAGUGGUUAAGGGCCUAGAUUCAGUUCCCAGGACCACGCAGAGGCUCAGUCUGUAACCCUAGUUCCAGAGGCUCUAAGGGGGGGGGGGGGGAGCACAGUGAUGAUGACACUGUUACGUCUCCUACCCAUAAUGGACUAGUAACGCUUUUUUUAAAAUUGCCUUGCAAAUGUAUUAAUUGCCCUAAUUUUCACUUUUGGAUUAUUCUCAUUAACAGGUACUCUUUUUUUUUUUUGUUUUUUUUGUUUUUUGUUUUUUGAGACAGGGUUUCUCUGUGUAGCCCUGGCUGUCCUGGAACUCACUCUGUAGACCAUGCUGGCCUCGAACUCAGAAAUCCACCUGCCUCUGCCUCCUGAGUGCUGGGAUUAAAGGCGUGCACCACCACACCUGGCUCUCUAUUUUAUUUGUGUGUGUGUGUGUGUGUGUGUGUGUGUGUGUGUGUGUGUGUGUGUGUCCUUGGCAUGUGGAGGUCAAAGGGUAACUUUAAGGAGUCAUUUUUUUCCCACCACAUAGGAAUCCCAUUCAGGUGACGAGGUCUCUGUCUUUCCCCACUGAGCCAUCUCACCAGCUAUUGGCUAAGAGUAUGUCAGCACACUACAAACACUUUUGUUUUAAGAAGGAAAAUCUUUUACUGGGUCUCAUGGCAUAUACUUUUUUUUUUUUUGAGACGCGUCUCACUAUGUACUCUGGGUAGCCUCAAACUUGCUAUGUAGACCACACUGGCCUGAAACCCAUGCCUCUUGCCUCUGCUUCCCCGGUGUGGCAUGCACUUUUAAUCGCAGCUCAGAGGCAGAGGCAGAGGCAGGUGGAUCUCUAUGAGUUUGAGGCCAGCCUGGUCUACUUAGUGACUUCCAGGCUAGCCGGGGCUACAAAAAUACAACAAAGAAAUGCUUUCUUUUCAAUUACAGAUAGUGAGUAUGUGCAGGUGAAUGCUGGUGCCCUCAAGGGUCAGAAUCCCCUGGACCUGGAGUUACAGGAGAUUGGGAGCUGCCCUGUGUAGGUCCUGGUACUGAAUGAGGCCUCUGCAAGUGCAGCAGGUACUCUGAACCACUGAGCCAUCUCUCCAGUCCCUGUAAAUACUUUUCAUCUUAACAUCUGGAAGGACCAGCAAGAUAGCUCAGCAGGUAAAGACACCUGCUACCAAGCCACAUGGCAAAAAGAAAACCAACUCCUCCUGAAAAUUGUCAUCUGACCUCCACUUGUGUGCCACGGUGUACACACACAAACACACACACAAGAUAUAACUGGUGUGUUCCUGUGUUUUGUUAGCUGUCUAUCCUCAGAGCUCCUCAGUUUCACACUCUUUCCUUCCCAGCGACUCAGUCCUUCCUGUCUUUCCUGACCUCAGCACUCCGGAAGAAUACUGCUCUUAAUUUGAUAGAAUUGGUACUUUGGUGUUUUUCCAGUGUUUUUUGUUUGUUUGUUUUCAUGAUUAGAUGAAGGUUGGUAUAUUUUUUGCAAGAAUCUCAGAUGUAAUGACCUGUAGGUGAUGUCAAUGUAUUAUUAAUAAGUAUAUCAUUUUCUGUCACCUCCAUAACAAGUUACCACAGAUUUGCUGUCUGAAAGCAACACCCAUUUCUUAUCUCAGCUUCUGGUGGUCAGAACUAUGAGUAACUUGUGCAAUGCUAAAAGUUCCUCUGUGGGUUGGACAGCCUUCUCAUCCAGGUUAGGUACUUGCCCGUUCCUUUCUCUAAGCUACUAGGAGAUAUUUCCAUAGGAUUGCCACAUGACCGCCAUCUACAAAGGCAGCAGCUGUUCCUGCAAGCAGACCUCACACUUUCCCUACUUCUAGACUCAAGUCUGAAAUGUUGCAUAAAGUUGGGCAUAUGGCACAUCCCUGUAAUCCCACCGCCUGGAAGGCAGCCUGAAGUUAAGGACUGCUGCAAAUCUGAGUCCAGCCUAGAGUACAAACUGAGACCACAAUGCGAGACCCUAUUUCAAAGAAAGGAAGAAGAUGGGGAAAGAGGAAGGGAGGGAGGGAAAAUGGUUGUUUUCACUGGUGGUGGUGAGCCACCCAGUGUUGGUGCUGGAACUGAACUUGAGUCCCCGCAAAAGCAGUACAAGCUCUCAACCACUGAGCCGUCUCUGCCACAUGGCUUUAUUUUUUUAUUUAAAAAAACAAACAAACAAACAAAAAAGACCUAAGAAAA